RNAcentral lists this long non-coding RNA (5701 nucleotides) under Populus trichocarpa (black cottonwood). RNAcentral's name for it is "long non-coding RNA (PTRI_LNC003932)". The record is from RNAcentral. Lineage: Eukaryota; Viridiplantae; Streptophyta; Magnoliopsida; Malpighiales; Salicaceae.
AGGCAACCACGCAAGUCUGUAUUACAGUGUUCUCUUGCCUCGUAAAGGGUUGCUUGAAAAGUCCAGACUUUUCAAGAAACUUUGUCCAGGUCUUGAUAAAAAAGAAGCCCAGAAGGCCAGCAGAGACAUUGAGGGAAGGUAUGAUACCAGUUGUAAGAUUGAGCUUCAUUACUAUGACGCAGAACAAAAUGCUCAACACGAAGCUCACCACAAGGGCCCUCAGUGUCAGCUGAUUCCUCCAUGAUGGCACAUCUUGGUUCUCAAAUAUUCUUUCCACUGACAACUCUUCUUCUUGUUCCUCUUUCUUGUCCUUCUUUCUGUGAUCAUGAUCAUCCUCCAAAUCAUGAUCAUUCUCUACCUUGGCGUCGUCUCUUUCAUUACGUUCCAUUUUAUUUUCUUAAAAGAAUGAUUCUUUAUGGAGACGAAGAGAGUUGGGAGUGUGUUUAAUAAGUGGUUGUGAUUAUUGCUCAACGCAUCACAAGCGAAUUGAAGACGAUGAAUAUGAGGAGUUAAAAGUUAAAACGGGUUGUUGUAGUGAGUUUAACCUGUCUGUUUUUUUAGGUUAUUUUUUUUAAUUUUAAAUUAAUUUUUUUUUAAUUUUUUGAAUUAUUUUAAUAUAUUAAUAUUAAAAAUAAAUUUUAAAAUAUAAAAAAUAUAUUAUUUUAAUAUUUUUUAUCGAAAAUUAUUUUAAAAAAUAAUUAUUAUUAUAUUUUUAAACACUCUUUAAAAUAACAAAAUGACUCUAAAUGAAAUGUGUUUUAGUUAAGUUUGUAAUUUUUAUAUAUGUAAUCUGUAGGUACUUUUAAAGAAUUAGACUAGAAAUAUAAUAGAAAUUAUUUUUAAAAUAAUCUAAAAAUAUGUUUUUAAUAUUUUUUUGAAUUAAAAUUAAUAAUUAUUUUCAAAACAAUUUGAAAAUAAAAAAAAUUAAUUUUAAAAAGGAAUGUUUUAAGCAAGUUACCAAAUGGCCACUGAAUCCAAUGCCAAAAGCUUCUAUUUCUAAUUUGUGGAAGACGAGAAGUCAAUAGUCAAUUUCCAAAAAAUUAAAAAAAAAAUAAAGGGAAAAUAAAAGAUCUGUGAAUGUCCAUUGUCCAAAGUUUGUGGGAAAAAAAUGAUAUAAGAAAUAAAGAAAAUGAUAUUAAAUUACUUAAAGAAGCUAGACUAGAAUAUAGUUGAAUUUAAAACAAUUUAAAAACACUAUUUUAAUAGUUUUUAAAUUAAAAAUAAUUUAAAAAAUAAUUAUUACUAAACUCCCAAAAACCUUUAAAACAACAAAGUAACCUUUCACAUGUGUUUGAGUUAAUUAAUUUUAAAUAAAAUAAAACAAACUUUUAAAAAGGAAUGUUUUAAGCAAGUUACCAAAUUGCCACUGAAUCCAAUGCCAAAAGCUUCUCUUUCUAAUGUAGAAGGCGAGAAGUCAAUAGUCAAUUUCCAAAAAAUUAAAACAAAAUAAAAGGAAAAUAAAAAAUCUAUGUAGGUCUAUUGUCCAAAGAUUGUGGGAAAAUAAAAAAUCUAUGUAACGUGCGUGGAAGAUUUAAAGAAUGUCCAAUUAAUUAUUGUAUAAACGUUGGUUUUUUCCUUCUCAACGUAAUUAAUUAGAGAUGAUUUUUCUAAUUACUUGUUUACUAAAUUCAUAGCACAAAUCAUGCAAUCUUGCAGAGAAAUUUGUUAAGUAAAAAUAAGAUAAGCAAAUAAAAAAAAUACGAGUUUACAAUAAAUAAUAUAACGUUAUUUAAUUUAAACUUAUCUCUAAAAAAACAAUGCAGGACCUUACAAAGCAUGAGAUUGAAGAUGAGUUAUAAACAAAUCAUAACCACAGCAAGAUGGAGAGUUGAGGGAUUCUAUGAUAAUUAACUUUGAAUAUAUUUGCAUGGGGAAGAACGUAUGAUCCAAAUGAUAACCUCUUUAUGUAGUUCGCUCCCUCUGGGCUUAGAUGCCAUUAAGACUACGGAAAUGCUUUGUCUAUUUUUCAGCUUCUUUUCAUGUUCUUAGGACAAACCUUCAACAUAUUUGUUACAAGUCUCAUAUUCGCUGAAGCUUUUAUCGUCUUCCUCGACGCAUCUGAUAUUUUUUCCAUCUUUUUUCUUUUCUCGUGUUGGAUAACUAAGUCUGGCAUGGUUUUAUUGUGAGACUGAUAAUAACUAGAAGGCCAUUCCAAUGCCACAUUGGACCACCUGAUAUGAUCAUAGCUAGCAAAAUGAGCAAACCUGAUACCAAAUAUAGCAACUGAUCAUAAGAGCUCACAAAGGGUACUGUCAUUUUCACUUUUCACAUUGCUUGAUGCAUCUGUUCUACUAUCUUCUUCAAACUAGACAAGAAAAAAACUACAAGCACAUAUAAGUAAGGGGACAUUUGAUUUUCUUCUCCAGAAAUGAUUACAGAGAAAAUAGUUGUAGCCUUGUUGGCUCCACGGAAUAGCAGGUGAUUAUCCACAGCAUUUUUGAGUCGAACUUCACAUGUAAACUUCAUAACCUUAGUGUAGGAAGCAAUUCAGCUUUACUUCACAGUUUCUAUUCAAGUUGAUCUGAACUUCAACUUUAUGACCCUAAGAACGCAUCGACCUUGGCAUUUGUUCCCCUUGACAAAAACUUCAUGCAAAUGGGAGGUUUUACUCCUACUAGAGCAAGUAUCGCACUAGGCAAAGUCCAUAUCCCAUCCCCGCAAAUCAAACCAGAAGCCACUGCUGGCCCAAAAGCAUCUGCCUUUGCCUUGUCAAUCUUUUCCCAGAUAAAUAGAAUCAAGCUUCCCACACACAUGUCGAUGGCAAAGUAUGGGCCAAUAUAGAACGGUAUAGCCAUCGCCAUUGGAUUGGGAAUGAACCUGGCCCAUUUCUUACCCAAAGCAUCCUUAAUUAAAUUUAUCAGAAUAGCUGCACCGAAGAACCCAUAACAAAGAUAGAGGCAAUUCUUUGGUAGAGACGAGAAUCCGUCUACCCCCAAUAUAGCCAUGUUUCGAUAUACAGUAGCAUAAGGAGCAGGGUAUUGACUUCCAGGAGUCCCCAGAUCCUUGAAGGCCUUGAAAAACAGCCAAAAGACACAAGGUGAAAUAAUGCAACCCAUUGCAGUGCCAAUUAGUUGGCUCACAAACAUGGACCGAGGUGAAGAAAGGGUCAAAUAACCAGUCUUGAAAUCUUGAGAUAGGUCAGAGGCUGUGGAGACAAUAUUCAUCAUGACUCCACAGGCCGCUAGUCCUGCAAGAACUCCACCAUGAGAGGCACCAGCCCAUGCCCCAAUUACAAAAAUUGCAAGCUUCCCAUAGGUGGAAGCUAGGGACCAGUCAGUGAGGCCACAGCCAUAAGCAUUACAGAAUGCAAGGGCUGGGGCAAAGAUGUAGAUAACCAAUAUGUAAUACCAUUUGAGUUCGGGAAAUAUAUGCGGUAGCGUGGCUGUAGAGAUAGCAGCAAUUGCGACAUAGCCUGCAACAGCAAACCAUGUUGGAAUUUGAUCUUUGAGAAAGAGUUGGGUGCGGCGUUGAUCAUUGUAUGAGAUCCUGGAGGUCUCGGGAGAGGAACGGUCCGCAAUAGGGAGGGCACCAGUUGCAUCUUUCCUUUGAAGUUGAAAAAACAAGACAGUGAGUGUUCGGCUUAGCACCUUGAAGAAGUUGUACAGACCGUCACCCAAGAUCAUGGCAAUGGCAAUAAAUACCUGAGUUCAUUGCACAAGAGUUGUUAUGAAUGAAAAGGCUUCAAGAAUAGCACUCUUGUCACCUUAAUCUUGUUAGAAAACUUACCUUGUAACCUUGGAGGCCAUGUAAGCUGCCUGGUUUGAGGUCUGCUGGAUACCAGUCACCCUUUUUUGUAUCUAUGAGAGGCCACAUGAGACCCCAGGAAAGAAUUCCUCCAAGCAAAACUGAUAUGUUUAUGAUGUAGGGGCAAAUCAUUCCAACUCCAACAUAUGUUGCUGAGAAAUCAAAGAAAAAUCUGUACAUAUAACAAGAACAUUAUUAGUCAAAGAUACCACAACGAAUUUGAAACAGAAUGCCAUAACAAAUGGAACUACAUUCAACAAGAAGAGAGGAUUUUGGAAGAUUGAGUAAUGCUUUUACUUGUUUUCAUGUGCUUUAAGACCAAGUGAGGGGAACUCGGCAAAUCCACAACCAUCUCCUGCAGUGUAGAACCACUGAAAGAAACCCCACAAGAAGCUGAAUGAUAAGAACUUGCCCAACGCUAUCACUUGUUUUCUGAAACGGUAGAAAGAAAAAAGUUUGAUACUUUUACAUGCCGAAUGAUCAUCCAACUAUAUGUGCAUGAGGUCUGAUAAUGCCUUACUUUGCUAGCUUGGCUCCUGCAGGAGUGUGGAAGCUGUUGAUGAGAUAAGCAGUUGCAGUGCCACUUGGAUAUGUCAAUUUGAAGUCUAUAAUCAUGACCUGGAAAUAACCAGGGUAACAAUGAAGAUUUGAUUUUGGCAAAAUCAAUACAUUCAACAAGAAAGCAAAAUUCAGAGAGAAGUUUUCUAUUUCCUAUACGAAAUUGAAUGGCGAUAUAGGUUGUGAAGUCUACCUUUCGAAGAGGCACCACUGAAAAGAGUCCAAGAAAGCUAACAACAAACAGAAAGCCAAUCAUCCAUGACAGAGAUGGGUUCUUAAAGGCAUCACUAUCUUCCGUUGAUUGUUUGGCCACGGUUCCACUCAUUCCAAACAGAUAACUCCCAAAGCCUCCUAUUGUAAGGAAACAAGAAACAAAUUAUAGAAUGGAAACUAUUAGUACAAAAAAUCAACAAGCUUAAUUUCAUCUUGAGCAUAAUCACAAAUUAUUUCUUUCGUUACAACAAUUUCAGUUUCGAGACCACUUGGAUGAAAAGCUGGAAAUGUAGUGUAUUCAAAUUAAUUUUACAUGAUGAAAGCUAGAUUAACAGUACAAACAAAUUAAUUAUUCAUAUAUUCUUUUCUCGCUAAUGGGGAAGACUUCUUUUUCCGCUAAUCAGAAUAUUCUUACAAGACUUGUAUAACUUUGAAGUUAGCGAAUCAUCCAUAUCCAGCUCAUAUGAAUUGAAAAGAAAAAUAAAACGCCACCAUUAUCACACUCCAUGAGACAGGGAAAAGCUAGUAAAGAAAAAUUACAGACCAUUUAAUUAAACUUUUUUACUCAAGUAUAUUUGUUCACGUCUCAAACAGCAAGUUCAAGUGUUGAUUAGUUUAGUAAAAUUUCACAAGUGGCUGAAGCAAUAGCAGAACUGAUAGUCAUAAAAAAAGGGUUGCCUUAUCAUGUAAUAUAGCAAUAAGAAGAAGCAAAUCUUGACUUUGAGUUUUAGUAACUACUGUAAGUUUCCAACCUUUAAGAACAGAGACAAAACCAAAUGCACAGAAAUUUUAAUAUCUUGAUCAAAGAAGCCUGCAUAUCUUCUCAACCCAAAAAGUAAGAGAGAUUAAAUGAAAAUUAAUGGCAGUAAGAAGUACAGAAAGUAUACCACUAAAGGCAAUGCCAGAGGAUGCAACCACACAAGUCUGGAUAACAGUGUUUUCUUGCCUCGUAAAGGGUUGCUUCAAAAGGCCAGACUUUUCAAGAAACUUUGUCCAGGUCUUGAUAAAAAAGAAGCCCAGAAGGCCAGCAGAGACAUUGAGGGAAGGUAUGAUACCAGUUGUAAGAUUGAGCUUCAUUACUAUGACGCUGAACAAAAUGCUCAACACGAAGCUCACCACAAAGGCCCUCAGUGUCAGCUGAUUCCUCCAUGAUGGCACUUCUUGGUUCUCAAAUAUUCUUUCCACU